UGGGGAAUAUUGGGCAAUGGAGGAAACUCUUACCCAGCAAUGCCGCGUGAGUGAAGAAGGUCUUCGGAUUGUAAAGCUCUUUGAUUGGGGACGAAUUAAUGACGGUACCCAAGGAACAAGCCCCGGCUAACUAUGUGCCAGCAGCCGCGGUAAUACAUAGGGGGCGAGCGUUGUCCGGAAUGACUGGGCGUAAAGGGUGUGUAGGCGGCUUCGCAAGUUGGAAGUGUAAUACCUAGGGCUUAACUCAGGUGCUGCUUCCAAAACUGCGAGGCUUGAGUGACGGAGAGGAAGAUGGAAUUCCUAGUGUAGCGGUGGAAUGCGUAGAUAUUAGGAGGAACACCAGAGGCGAAAGCGAUCUUCUGGACGAUAACUGACGCUGAGGCACGAAAGCGUGGGGAGCAAACAGG
This 407-nucleotide ribosomal RNA is filed under the name uncultured bacterium. RNAcentral's name for it is "bacterial SSU rRNA". It matches the Rfam family "Bacterial small subunit ribosomal RNA", at positions 355 to 776 of the family's 1533-position model. The record is from RNAcentral.